CCCGUACCCAUCUCGAACACGGAAGUUAAGCUCUUUAGCGUCGAUGGUACUGCAUGGGAGACUGUGUGGGAGAGUAGAACGCUGCCAGAU
This 90-nucleotide ribosomal RNA is filed under the name Desulfobacula sp. The record is from RNAcentral. Lineage: Bacteria; Pseudomonadati; Thermodesulfobacteriota; Desulfobacteria; Desulfobacterales; Desulfobacteraceae.